RNAcentral lists this transfer RNA (73 nucleotides) under Stegodyphus mimosarum. It matches the Rfam family "tRNA". From Rfam's summary of the family: Transfer RNA (tRNA) molecules are approximately 80 nucleotides in length. Their secondary structure includes four short double-helical elements and three loops (D, anti-codon, and T loops). Lineage: Eukaryota; Metazoa; Arthropoda; Arachnida; Araneae; Eresidae. The record is from Rfam by way of RNAcentral.
GCCUUCAUGGUGUAAUGGUCAGCACGCUCGGCGCGUAUUCGAGAGGUCCGUGGUUCGAGUCCCGGCGAGGGCA